UAGCGCGGACGGGUGAGUAACACGUGGGCAACCUUCCCCAUAGACUGGGAUAACAUCGAGAAAUCGGUGCUAAUACCGGAUAAUCUCUGAGAAUGCCUAUUCUUAGAGUAAAAGAUGGCUCCGGCUAUCACUAAGGGAUGGGCCCGCGGCGCAUUAGCUAGUUGGUGGGGUAAAGGCCUACCAAGGCAUCGAUCAGUAGCUGGUCUGAGAGGACGACCAGCCACACUGGGACUGAGACACGGCCCAGACUCCUACGGGAGGCAGCAGUGGGGAAUUUUGGACAAUGGGGGCAACCCUGAUCCAGCAAUGCCGCGUGAGUGAAGAAGGCCUUCGGGUUGUAAAGCUCUUUUGUCAGGGAAGAAACGCACCGGGUUAAUACCCUGGUGUAAUGACGGUACCUGAAGAAUAAGCACCGGCUAACUACGU
This 426-nucleotide ribosomal RNA is filed under the name uncultured bacterium. RNAcentral describes it as "bacterial SSU rRNA". It matches the Rfam family "Bacterial small subunit ribosomal RNA", at positions 94 to 506 of the family's 1533-position model. The record is from RNAcentral.